AAUGGACGAAAGUCUGAUGAUGCGACGCCGCGUGCAGGACGAAGGCCUUAGGGUUGUAAACUGCUUUUGUUUGGAAAGAACCUUGAACUCUAACAUAGUUCAAGCUGACGGUACCAUUCGAAUAAGCCACGGCCAAAUACGUGCCAGCAGCCGCGGUAAUACGUAUGUGGCAAGCGUUACUCGGAAUUAUUGGGUGUAAAGGGCAAGUAGGCGGUCAUGUAAGCGAGGGGUGAAAUCUUACGACUCAAUCGUAAAACUGCCUUUCGAACUACAUGACUUGAGGUCAAGAGAGGAAAAUGGAAUUAGCAGUGUAAGGGUGAAAUCUGUAGAUAUUGCUAAGAACACCAGCGGCGAAGGCGAUUUUCUGGCUUGACUCUGACGCUAAAUUGCGAAAGCUAGGGUAGCAAACGGAAUU
RNAcentral lists this ribosomal RNA (415 nucleotides) under uncultured Gammaproteobacteria bacterium. Its description in RNAcentral is "bacterial SSU rRNA". It matches the Rfam family "Bacterial small subunit ribosomal RNA", at positions 370 to 779 of the family's 1533-position model. Lineage: Bacteria; Pseudomonadati; Pseudomonadota; Gammaproteobacteria. The record is from RNAcentral.